RNAcentral lists this ribosomal RNA (460 nucleotides) under uncultured bacterium. RNAcentral describes it as "partial 16S ribosomal RNA". It matches the Rfam family "Bacterial small subunit ribosomal RNA", at positions 338 to 795 of the family's 1533-position model. The record is from RNAcentral.
CCUACGGGCGGCAGCAGUGAGGAAUAUUGGUCAAUGGACGAGAGUCUGAACCAGCCAAGUAGCGUGAAGGAUGACUGCCCUAUGGGUUGUAAACUUCUUUUAUAUGGGAAUAAAAUGUUCCACGUGUGGGAUUUUGUAUGUACCAUAUGAAUAAGGAUCGGCUAACUCAGUGCCAGCAGCCGCGGUAAUACGGAGGAUCCGAGCGUUAUCCGGAUUUAUUGGGGUUAAGGGGAGCGUAGGUGGAUUGUUAAGUCAGUUGUGAAAGUUUGCGGCUCAACCGUAAAAUUGCAGUUGAAACUGGCAGUCUUGAGUACAGUAGAGGUGGGCGGAAUUCGUUGUGUAGCGGUGAAAUGCUUAGAUAUCACGAAGAACUCCGAUUGCGAAGGCAGUUCACUGGACUGCAACUGACACUGAGGCUCGAAAGUGUGGGUAUCAAACAGGAUUAGAUACCCGUGUAGUC